Nomascus leucogenys (northern white-cheeked gibbon) is the source of this 212-nucleotide small nucleolar RNA. RefSeq annotates it as small nucleolar RNA U3. Lineage: Eukaryota; Metazoa; Chordata; Mammalia; Primates; Hylobatidae. The record is from RefSeq and is a predicted model, not a curated record.
AAGACUAUACUUUCAGAGAUUACUUAUGUGGUUUAUUACUAGAGGGGUUUUUCUGAACAUGUAGAGUAGUGGAAGCUAUAAUGGAAGAGGUGUAGUGUUCUCUUCUGAGCGUUAAGGCGGUUAUUGGUGUUACUUUCGUGCAACAUGUUGUUAGCUAUUGAUUGUUGUUCUCUUCGAUUUGGAGAGUAAGGAGAGAACACAGUCUGAGUGGU